ACGGGUGAGUAACACGUAAGGAACCUGCCUCAAGGAUUGGGAUAACUCCGAGAAAUCGGAGCUAAUACCGGAUAGUUCAACGGACCGCAUGGUCCGCUGAUGAAAGGCGCUCCGGCGUCACCUUGAGAUGGCCUUGCGGUGCAUUAGCUAGUUGGUGGGGUAACGGCCCACCAAGGCGACGAUGCAUAGCCGACCUGAGAGGGUGAUCGGCCACACUGGGACUGAGACACGGCCCAGACUCCUACGGGAGGCAGCAGUAGGGAAUCUUCCACAAUGGACGAAAGUCUGAUGGAGCAACGCCGCGUGAGUGAUGAAGGUUUUCGGAUCGUAAAACUCUGUUGUAAGGGAAGAACACGUACGAGAGGGAAUGCUCGUACCUUGACGGUACCUUACGAGAAAGCCACGGCUAACUACGUGCCAGCAGCCGCGGUAAUACGUAGGUGGCAAGCGUUGUCCGGAAUUAUUGGGCGUAAAGCGCGCGCAGGCGGCCUUUUAAGUCUGAUGUGAAAGCCCCCGGCUCAACCGGGGAGGGCCAUUGGAAACUGGAAGGCUUGAGUACAGAAGAGAA
Molecule: ribosomal RNA, 568 nt
Filed under: uncultured bacterium
Lineage: Bacteria
Description: bacterial SSU rRNA
Rfam family: Bacterial small subunit ribosomal RNA
Source: RNAcentral